This 115-nucleotide ribosomal RNA is filed under the name Citrobacter freundii. Lineage: Bacteria; Pseudomonadati; Pseudomonadota; Gammaproteobacteria; Enterobacterales; Enterobacteriaceae. The record is from RNAcentral. RNAcentral also lists the same sequence under 19 other names.
CUGGCGGCUGUAGCGCGGUGGUCCCACCUGACCCCAUGCCGAACUCAGAAGUGAAACGCCGUAGCGCCGAUGGUAGUGUGGGGUCUCCCCAUGCGAGAGUAGGGAACUGCCAGGC